This 407-nucleotide ribosomal RNA is filed under the name uncultured bacterium. Its description in RNAcentral is "partial 16S ribosomal RNA". It matches the Rfam family "Bacterial small subunit ribosomal RNA", at positions 28 to 526 of the family's 1533-position model. The record is from RNAcentral.
GAUGAACGCUGACAGAAUGCUUAACACAUGCAAGUCGACUGGGUGGCGGACGGGUGAGUAACGCGUGAAGAACUUGCCUCACAGCUAGGGACAACAUUUAGAAAUGAAUGCUAAUACCUGAUACUGUGAGAGAGCUUUGCGUCCCAUUGGCUAGUUGGCGAGGUAACAGCUCAACAAGGCGAUGAUGGGUAGCCGGCCUGCGAGGGUGAACGGCCACAAGGGGACUGACACACGGCCCUUACUCCUACGGGAGGCAGCAGAGGGGAAUAGUGGACAAUGGACCGAAGUCUGAUCCGGCAAUUCUGUGUUCACGAUGAAGUUUUUCGGAAUGUAAAGUGCUUUCAGUUGGGAAGCGGUACCAACAGAAGAAGUGACGGCUAAAUACGUGCCAGCAGCCGCGGUAAUUC